Molecule: ribosomal RNA, 422 nt
Filed under: uncultured bacterium
Lineage: Bacteria
Description: bacterial SSU rRNA
Rfam family: Bacterial small subunit ribosomal RNA
Source: RNAcentral
GUUAACGGGGUAUACCUGGAGAAGGUGCCCCGCUUGCGGUCGGUUUACAGGUGGUGCAUGGUUGUCGUCAGCUCGUGUCGUGAGAUGUUGGGUUGAGUCCCGCAACGAGCGCAACCCUCGUUCUAUGUCGCCAGCACGUGAUGGUGGGGACUCAUAGGAGACUGCCGGGGUCAACUCGGAGGAAGGUGGGGACGACGUCAAAUCAUCAUGCCCCUUAUGUCUUGGGCUUCACGCAUGCUACAAUGGCCGGUACAAAGGGUUGCGAUACUGUGAGGUGGAGCUAAUCCCAAAAAGCCGGUCUCAGUUCGGAUUGGGGUCUGCAACUCGACCCCAUGAAGUCGGAGUCGCUAGUAAUCGCAGAUCAGCAACGCUGCGGUGAAUACGUUCCCGGGCCUUGUACACACCGAAUCGCCAAACUGUAC